This 388-nucleotide ribosomal RNA is filed under the name uncultured bacterium. RNAcentral's name for it is "bacterial SSU rRNA". It matches the Rfam family "Bacterial small subunit ribosomal RNA", at positions 30 to 420 of the family's 1533-position model. The record is from RNAcentral.
AUUGAACGCUGGCGGCAUGCCUUACACAUGCAAGUCGAACGGCAGCGGACCUUCGGGUGCCGGCGAGUGGCGAACGGGUGAGUAAUAUAUCGGAACGUACCUUUCAGUGGGGGAUAACGUAGCGAAAGUUACGCUAAUACCGCAUAUUCUGUGAGCAGGAAAGCAGGGGAUCGCAAGACCUUGCGCUGAUUGAGCGGCCGAUAUCAGAUUAGCUAGUUGGUGAGGUAAAGGCACACCAAGGCGACGAUCUGUAGCGGGUCUGAGAGGAUGAUCCGCCACACUGGAACUGAGACACGGUCCAGACUCCUACGGGAGGCAGCAGUGGGGAAUUUUGGACAAUGGGCGCAAGCCUGAUCCAGCCAUGCCGCGUGAGUGAAGAAGGCCUCGG